UGUCCCUUAGCUCAAUGGUUAGAGCCUUCGGCUUAUAUCCGAGUGGUUGUCGGUUCGAUUCCGACAGGGACUACCA
RNAcentral lists this transfer RNA (76 nucleotides) under Megamonas funiformis. Its description in RNAcentral is "tRNA-Ile". It matches the Rfam family "tRNA". From Rfam's summary of the family: Transfer RNA (tRNA) molecules are approximately 80 nucleotides in length. Lineage: Bacteria; Bacillati; Bacillota; Negativicutes; Selenomonadales; Selenomonadaceae. The record is from RNAcentral.